GUGGAAUGAUGAACUUGUUUAUCCAUUCGCUGAGCGCUGCUGGUUCUCUCCCUCGGCCGCCUUGUGGUCCGUUCUGGGCCGCAGGGUUACGGUCAUCAGGUCCUGCUCGGCUGGUCCAAUGUUCUGUUGGGUCAGUCGCUGUAGGGUCUGAUGGCUGGUGCGAGGGAUCAGGCCAGCUCUGACAAAGACGAAUAGACAUAUCUGAUCAC
Megalobrama amblycephala (Wuchang bream) is the source of this 209-nucleotide small nucleolar RNA. RefSeq annotates it as small nucleolar RNA SNORD17. The record is from RefSeq and is a predicted model, not a curated record. The transcript has a single exon. Lineage: Eukaryota; Metazoa; Chordata; Actinopteri; Cypriniformes; Xenocyprididae.